AAUAAUAAUAAUAAUAAUAAUAAUAAACCCAGUCUAAAACCUAUCUAAAACAUUUAGUAAGUUAAAUAGUUUAAAAAUGCCAUUGUAUACAUAGGACUAGAUCACAAAUGCGCUGUUUGAUUCAAGACAAUUAUUGCCUUGGAAAAGAAACUGUUUCUCAGUCUAUUAGUCCUCAUUUUAAGACACCUACAACGUCUCCCUGAUGGUAAGAGUUUGAAA
Molecule: non-coding RNA, 219 nt
Organism: Notechis scutatus (mainland tiger snake)
Lineage: Eukaryota; Metazoa; Chordata; Lepidosauria; Squamata; Elapidae
Source: RefSeq, a predicted model, not a curated record